UACGUAGGGGGCCAGCGUUGUUCGGAAUUACUGGGCGUAAAGGGUUCGUAGGCGGUUUUGCAAGUCGGGAGUGAAAUCUCUGGGCUCAGCCCAGAGACUGCUUCCGAAACUGCUGUGCUUGAGUGUGAGAGAGGCUCGUGGAAUUGCAGGUGUAGCGGUGAAAUGCGUAGAUAUCUGCAGGAACACCCGUGGCGAAAGCGGCGAGCUGGAUCACUACUGACGCUGAGGAACGAAAGCUAGGGGAGCAAACAGG
This 253-nucleotide ribosomal RNA is filed under the name uncultured bacterium. Its description in RNAcentral is "partial 16S ribosomal RNA". It matches the Rfam family "Bacterial small subunit ribosomal RNA", at positions 524 to 776 of the family's 1533-position model. The record is from RNAcentral.